UACGUAGGGGGCAAGCGUUGUCCGGAUUAUUGGGCGUAAAGAGCGUGUAGGCGCCUGACAGGUCUGCUGUGAAAACUCGAGGCUCAACCUCGAGAUGUCGGCGGAAACCGUCUGGCUAGAGUCCGGAGAGGAGAGUGGAAUUCCUGGUGUAGCGGUGAAAUGCGCAGAUAUCAGGAAGAACACCUAUGGCGAAGGCAGCUCUCUGGGACGGUACUGACGCGAGACGCGAAGCGUGGGAGCGAACGGAUAGAACCGUGUAGC
RNAcentral lists this ribosomal RNA (261 nucleotides) under uncultured bacterium. RNAcentral describes it as "partial 16S ribosomal RNA". It matches the Rfam family "Bacterial small subunit ribosomal RNA", at positions 524 to 794 of the family's 1533-position model. The record is from RNAcentral.